Molecule: ribosomal RNA, 468 nt
Filed under: uncultured bacterium
Lineage: Bacteria
Description: partial 16S ribosomal RNA
Rfam family: Bacterial small subunit ribosomal RNA
Source: RNAcentral
GACGAACGCUGGCGGCGUGCUUAACACAUGCAAGUCGAACGGAAAGGCCCUGCUUUUGUGGGGUGCUCGAGUGGCGAACGGGUGAGUAACACGUGAGUAACCUGCCCUUGACUGUGGGAUAACUUCAGGGAACUGGGGCUAAUACCGGAUAGGAGCUCCUGCUGCGUGGGGGGGGAUGGAAAGUUUCGGCGGUUGGGGAUGGACUCGCGGCUUAUCCGCUUGUUGGUGGGGUAGUGGCUUACAAAGGCUUUGACGGGUAGCCGGCCUUAGAGGGUGACCGGCCUCCAUGCGCCUGCGAUACGCCCCAGUCUCCUACGGGAGGCAGCAGGGGGGAAUAUUGCACAACGGGCGGGAGCCUGAUGCAGCAACGCCGCGUUCGUGAUGCCCUCCUUCGGGUUGUAAACCGCUUUCUCCUGUGACGAAGCGUGAUUGACGGUAACGGGUAAAGAAGCACCGGCUAACUACGUG